UGUUUCGGCUAGGGGGUCAUCCCGACUUACCAACCCGAUGCAAACUACGAAUACCGAAGAAUGUUAUCACGGGAGACACACGGCGGGUGCUAACGUCCGUCGUGAAGAGGGAAACAACCCAGACCGCCAGCUAAGGUCCCAAAGUCAUGGUUAAGUGGGAAACGAUGUGGGAAGGCACAGACAGCCAGGAUGUUGGCUUAGAAGCAGCCAUCAUUUAAAGAAAGCGUAAUAGCUCACUGGUCGAGUCGGCCUGCGCGGAAGAUGUAACGGGGCUAAACCAUGCACCGAAGCUGCGGCAGCGACACUAUGUGUUGUUGGGUAGGGGAGCGUUCUGUAAGCCUGCGAAGGUGACCUGUGAGGGUUGCUGGAGGUAUCAGAAGUGCGAAUGCUGACAUAAGUAACGAUAAAGCGGGUGAAAAGCCCGCUCGCCGGAAGACCAAGGGUUCCUGUCCAACGUUAAUCGGGGCAGGGUGAGUCGACCCCUAAGGCGAGGCCGAAAGGCGUAGUCGAUGGGAAACAGGUUAAUAUUCCUGUACUUGGUGUUACUGCGAAGGGGGGACGGAGAAGGCUAUGUUAGCCGGGCGACGGUUGUCCCGGUUUAAGCAUGUAGGCUGGUUGUCCAGGCAAAUCCGGAUAAUCAAGGCUGAGGUGUGAUGACGAGGCACUACGGUGCUGAAGUAACAAAUGCCCUGCUUCCAGGAAAAGCCUCUAAGCAUCAGGUAACAUUAAAUCGUACCCCAAACCGACACAGGUGGUCAGGUAGAGAAUACCAAGGCGCUUGAGAGAACUCGGGUGAAGGAACUAGGCAAAAUGGUGCCGUAACUUCGGGAGAAGGCACGCUGGUGUGUAGGUGAAGUCCCUGCGGAUGGAGCUGAGACCAGUCGAAGAUACCAGCUGGCUGCAACUGUUUAUUAAAAACACAGCACUGUGCAAACACGAAAGUGGACGUAUACGGUGUGACGCCUGCCCGGUGCCGGAAGGUUAAUUGAUGGGGUUAUCCGUAAGGAGAAGCUCUUGAUCGAAGCCCCGGUAAACGGCGGCCGUAACUAUAACGGUCCUAAGGUAGCGAAAUUCCUUGUCGGGUAAGUUCCGACCUGCACGAAUGGCGUAAUGAUGGCCAGGCUGUCUCCACCCGAGACUCAGUGAAAUUGAACUCGCUGUGAAGAUGCAGUGUACCCGCGGCAAGACGGAAAGACCCCGUGAACCUUUACUAUAGCUUGACACUGAACAUUGAGCCUUGAUGUGUAGGAUAGGUGGGAGGCUUUGAAGCGUGGACGCCAGUCUGCGUGGAGCCAACCUUGAAAUACCACCCUUUAAUGUUUGAUGUUCUAACGUUGGCCCCUUACCGGGGUUGCGGACAGUGUCUGGUGGGUAGUUUGACUGGGGCGGUCUCCUCCCAAAGCGUAACGGAGGAGCACGAAGGUUAGCUAAUCCUGGUCGGACAUCAGGAGGUUAGUGCAAUGGCAUAAGCUAGCUUGACUGCGAGCGUGACGGCGCGAGCAGGUGCGAAAGCAGGUCAUAGUGAUCCGGUGGUUCUGAAUGGAAGGGCCAUCGCUCAACGGAUAAAAGGUACUCCGGGGAUAACAGGCUGAUACCGCCCAAGAGUUCAUAUCGACGGCGGUGUUUGGCACCUCGAUGUCGGCUCAUCACAUCCUGGGGCUGAAGUAGGUCCCAAGGGUAUGGCUGUUCGCCAUUUAAAGUGGUACGCGAGCUGGGUUUAGAACGUCGUGAGACAGUUCGGUCCCUAUCUGCCGUGGGCGCUGGAGAAUUGAGGGGGGCUGCUCCUAGUACGAGAGGACCGGAGUGGACGCAUCACUGGUGUUCGGGUUGUCAUGCCAAUGGCACUGCCCGGUAGCUAAAUGCGGAAGAGAUAAGUGCUGAAAGCAUCUAAGCACGAAACUUGCCCCGAGAUGAGUUCUCCCUGAGACUU
This 1930-nucleotide ribosomal RNA is filed under the name Klebsiella pneumoniae. RNAcentral's name for it is "partial 23S ribosomal RNA". It matches the Rfam family "Bacterial large subunit ribosomal RNA", at positions 911 to 2823 of the family's 2925-position model. The record is from RNAcentral. Lineage: Bacteria; Pseudomonadati; Pseudomonadota; Gammaproteobacteria; Enterobacterales; Enterobacteriaceae.